Molecule: ribosomal RNA, 253 nt
Filed under: uncultured bacterium
Lineage: Bacteria
Description: partial 16S ribosomal RNA
Rfam family: Bacterial small subunit ribosomal RNA
Source: RNAcentral
UACGGGGGGUGCGAGCGUUGUCCGGAAUUACUGGGCGUAAAGAGCUCGUAGGUGGUUUGUCGCGUUGUUCGUGAAAACCGGGGGCUUAACCCUCGGCGUGCGGGCGAUACGGGCAGACUGGAGUACUGCAGGGGAGACUGGAAUUCCUGGUGUAGCGGUGGAAUGCGCAGAUAUCAGGAGGAACACCGGUGGCGGAGGCGGGUCUCUGGGCAGUAACUGACGCUGAGGAGCGAAAGCGUGGGGAGCGAACGGG